Molecule: ribosomal RNA, 134 nt
Filed under: uncultured eukaryote
Lineage: Eukaryota
Description: partial small subunit ribosomal RNA
Rfam family: Eukaryotic small subunit ribosomal RNA
Source: RNAcentral
CCCUGCCAUUUGUACACACCGCCCGUCGCUACUACCGAUUGAAUGGCUUAGUGAGCUGUGGGGACCGUUGCCUGGUUGGGGUUUCCCUUCCAGAUUAAUGGGAACCACAUCAAACUUGAUCAUUUAGAGGAAGU